Molecule: long non-coding RNA, 997 nt
Filed under: Chinchilla lanigera (long-tailed chinchilla)
Lineage: Eukaryota; Metazoa; Chordata; Mammalia; Rodentia; Chinchillidae
Description: lncRNA (ENSCLAG00000028950.1)
Source: RNAcentral
CUUCCUUCUAGCUCUCCCCUCCUCCUUUCUCUCUCUCUCUCUCUCCCUCUGCCUCUCCCUCUCCCUCUCUCCCCACCGCUCCUCUCCUCCCUUUCUCUCCUCUCUCUCUCCUUCAGCAACCCCCCAUCCUCUUUCUUUCUCUCCCCCUCCCGCUCUCCCCUCCCUCUCUCCCCCUCCCACUCUCUUCUCCCUCUCCCUCCAAGUCUGGCACUGAACGAACUGUUUUGCUUUGCUCCGGGAAGAGUGCAGACACAUAACGUGAAAUCCCGAGCUUUUUGCGUGGUGCAUUUUAAAUGCUUCCUUAUUUAUAUUACCCUCACUCCCUCACCUCUCCCACCCCCUCAGCAGUCCUUCCAAAUUUCCCUAGAAAUCUGUGUAAAGCAUGCGGAGGGGGAAAACAUUUGCACAAAAAGUGAAGGAGCUCGCCAAGGUGGUCAGCUUGUCCUCUUCCCAGAGGUCCGCCUAAAGGGCGACUGUCCUCAGAGGUCACAGAAGCAGAAGAGCCUGGACAAAUGAGCUCAGCAGUCCCAGGAUUGGACAGCUGAAUUUAAAGUCGAGUUGAAGCCCAAUAUUUGGAACUGUGUUUAAUUGAAGAGGAGACAGAAGACGUCAUGUUUAAAAUUUGCAAGUUUUAUUAUACAGUCAAAUGAAAGAUUCAGCACUUGUCCCAAAGGAGUAACCAAGAUGGUAUUCUUAAAAAUUCCUGGCAUCUAUGAAAUUAUCUAAUUACAGAAUUUUCUUUCAUUAUAUGAACUACUCUUGAUUUCAUCAUGAAAAAUCUGAAUUGAAACAGUUUGUUGAAAUACUGAAACUGAAUUUUCAAUUAAGUGGGAAUAUUUGUAUGCUAAUAUGAUGCAAUGUUGUUGUUUCACAUUUUUUCCAUGUUAAAGAUUGUUCUGAACUCUAAAUCUUUUGAAUAAAUGAUACUGAAACCCAGUGUGGUUGUGUCUGAGUAUAUUUUAACAACUGCAUAUUCCUAGAGACUCUUCUACUCUCC